Molecule: ribosomal RNA, 502 nt
Filed under: uncultured Glomeromycotina
Lineage: Eukaryota; Fungi; Glomeromycota
Description: partial small subunit ribosomal RNA
Rfam family: Eukaryotic small subunit ribosomal RNA
Source: RNAcentral
CCAAUAGCGUAUAUUAAGGUUGUUGCAGUUAAAAAGCUCGUAGUUGAACUUCGGGAUUUGCCCAUUGGUCAGGCUUAACUGUCUGCACUGGUGUGACGAGUUCCUACCUUCUGAGGAAUCUCCAUGUCAUUCAGUUGGUGUGGGGGGAAAUCAGGACUGUUACUUUGAAAAAAUUAGAGUGUUUAAAGCAGGCGUCCGUCUGAAUACAUUAGCAUGGAAUAAUAAAAUAGGACGGUUUGGUUCUAUUUUGUUGGUUUCUAGGAUCACCGUAAUGAUUAAUAGGGAUAGUUGGGGGCAUUAGUAUUCAAUUGUCAGAGGUGAAAUUCUUGGAUUUAUUGAAGACUAACUACUGCGAAAGCAUUUGCCAAGGAUGUUUUCAUUAAUCAAGAACGAAAGUUAGGGGAUCGAAGACGAUCAGAUACCGUCGUAGUCUUAACCAUAAACUAUGCCGACUAGGGAUCGGACGAAGUUAAUUUUUUAAUGACUCGUUCGGCACCUUACG